AAAUAGAUAACUUUCCUAAUCCCUAACUCAUUCACGUUGCCUUUCACCAUUUUUUUCCCUUUUUUUGAAUCUAGUUUCUUUCAAUUGUUACUCUGGAGAAUUGAUAUUGUACCACCCUCUUGUCGAUGCUUCUCCUUCCGACGCACCUUCCACCAGGAUAAGCUGCUACUUCUAGAUCUGGACACGAUGAUGAUAAAGGAAGCAUGAAUCUCAAAGAAUCUCUUUUCUUCUUUACAAUCAGGUCUCCAGUAGCUUAUCUGAAAUAGCUAAAGGGGAAAUCCCUUCAAGCACCAUCAUGUCAUUUGUUUCUCCAUGCCACAACUCUAUGUCUGCUUUGAGUGGCCUCCUUACUGCUGCUGCUAUUGAGAAGAUUUCGUCUUUUGCAAAAAAAUUUGGAGGAAGAUCUGGCAUUGAAAUCCAUGCUACUGCUAUUGAAGUUUCAACAUCAGCUUCAAACCAUGGAUCCCACUUCAAAAUUCUCAUUUGCCAAUAUCUCUCCCUCGAAUUGAUGUAAAAGGCUGUUGUCGAUAAACAUAAUCUUCUAGCAUCUCUAGACUUAUUAAUAUAUGUCUUUCAUCCAUUACUCCUAUAGUACAUUGACCUUUGAUUCCACACUGGUUAGGAAUCAUUUUUCUCAGUACAUCGAUGUGAGGGUUGCCAUACAAAAAUUUUCCUAUAAUCGCAUAUUGAAGUUUUUCUUGUA
Molecule: long non-coding RNA, 703 nt
Organism: Capsicum annuum
Lineage: Eukaryota; Viridiplantae; Streptophyta; Magnoliopsida; Solanales; Solanaceae
Exons: 5
Source: RefSeq, a predicted model, not a curated record